RNAcentral lists this ribosomal RNA (466 nucleotides) under uncultured bacterium. RNAcentral's name for it is "bacterial SSU rRNA". It matches the Rfam family "Bacterial small subunit ribosomal RNA", at positions 330 to 794 of the family's 1533-position model. The record is from RNAcentral.
GCCAGACUCCUACGGGAGGCAGCAGUGAGGAAUAUUGGUCAAUGGCCGGGAGGCUGGACCAGCCAAGUCGCGUGAGGGAAGACGGCCCUACGGGUUGUAAACCUCUUUUGUCAGGGAGCAAAGUCACCCACGUGUGGGUGUUGGAGAGUACCUGAAGAAAAAGCAUCGGCUAACUCCGUGCCAGCAGCCGCGGUAAUACGGAGGAUGCGAGCGUUAUCCGGAUUUAUUGGGUUUAAAGGGUGCGUAGGCGGAAUGCCAAGUCAGCGGUAAAAUCGCGGGGCUCAACCUCGCUCCGCCGUUGAAACUGGCGUUCUUGAGUGGGCGAGAAGUAUGCGGAAUGCGUGGUGUAGCGGUGAAAUGCAUAGAUAUCACGCAGAACUCCGAUUGCGAAGGCAGCAUACCGGCGCCCAACUGACGCUGAAGCACGAAAGCGUGGGUAUUGAACAGGAUUAGAUACCCCCGUAAU